AGAGUUUGAUCCUGGCUCAGGACGAACGCUGGCGGCGUGCCUAAUGCAUGCAAGUCGCACGGGCGGCCUUCGGGUCGUCAGUGGCGCACGGCUGAGGAACACGUACGUACCUACCGUUCUGUGGGGGACAACCCGCCGAAAGGCGGGCUAAUCCCGCAUACGCUCGCAGGAGGAAAGCGGCUUCGGCCGCGCAGAACGCGGGGCGUGCGGCCCAUCAGGUUGUUGGCGGGGUAACGGCCCACCAAGCCCGUGACGGGUCGCUGGUCUGAGAGGAUGACCAGCCAGACUGGGACUGAGACACGGCCCAGACUCCUACGGGAGGCAGCAGCAAGGAAUUUUCGGCAAUGGGCGCAAGCCUGACCGAGCAACGCCGCGUGGUGGAUGACGGCCUUCGGGUUGUAAACACCUUUUGGGGGGGAUGACAUCGACCGUACCCCCCGAAUAAGCCCCGGCUAACUCUGUGCCAGCAGCCGCGGUAAGACAGAGGGGGCAAGCGUUGUCCGGAAUCACUGGGCGUAAAGCGCACGCAGGUGGCACGGCAAGUGGAGUGUGACACCCCACCGCUUAACGGUGGGACGCCAUUGCAGACUGCCGCGCUCGAGCCGUUCAGAGGUCAGUGGAAUUGCCGGUGUAGGAGUGAAAUCCGUAGAGCCCGGCAGGAACACCCACGGGGAAGCCAGCUGACUGGGAACGCGCUGACACUCAUGUGCGACAGCGUGGGGAGCGAACCGGAUUAGAUACCCGGGUAGUCCACGCCGUAAACGAUGAUGACUC
This 774-nucleotide ribosomal RNA is filed under the name anaerobic digester metagenome. RNAcentral describes it as "bacterial SSU rRNA". It matches the Rfam family "Bacterial small subunit ribosomal RNA", at positions 8 to 818 of the family's 1533-position model. The record is from RNAcentral.